RNAcentral lists this long non-coding RNA (498 nucleotides) under Equus asinus (donkey). RNAcentral's name for it is "lncRNA (ENSEASG00005027044.1)". Lineage: Eukaryota; Metazoa; Chordata; Mammalia; Perissodactyla; Equidae. The record is from RNAcentral.
CUAGCCAUAUCCCACUGUCAAAGUGAGGACACUAAGGAUAAGGCUGAGCCUUUGACGUCUCUCUGGCACAGUUUGUUUGUGAAUAGGCUGCUGAGUGUCCUUGAGAGUGAAGAUUGGAUUCCUCAACCUCAGUUAAACAGGAAUUUCAUCACCCAAAACUACCAAGAGACACAAGAACAAGAAGAAGGUCAGAAAUCUGAGGCACAGCCAGCUUAAGAAAUCUGCCCAAAGCCACACAGAGAGCAGCAGAGUUGGGAAAUCAGCCCAGGCAGCCAGACCCCAUAAAUACUACUCCUCAAUAUGAAAAUGCACUGCCAGCAGCACGGUGGAAAAUCUAAGAAAAUGUGUGUAUUAAGAUUGAUGAAACUCAAAAGUGAAGUUUGAAAUGGUUAUAAAAUUAGCACUAAUUACUGAACUGAUUCUUGGUGGAGUUAUAGUUAGCUUGGAUCCAGCAAACUGAGACUCUCUAUCGAGAAGAAAAGAAUGGGUGCAAAGGAG